GGGGUUGUAGCUCAGUUGGUAGAGCGCUUGAUUUGCAUUCAAGAGGCCUGGGGUUCAACUCCCCACAACUCCA
Nymphaea colorata (pocket water lily) is the source of this 73-nucleotide non-coding RNA. The record is from the annotation of a RefSeq genome assembly. NCBI's taxonomy places the organism in Eukaryota, Viridiplantae, Streptophyta, Magnoliopsida, Nymphaeales, Nymphaeaceae.